GGAGAGAUGGCUCAGUGGUUAAGAGCACUGGCUGCUCUUCCAGAGGACCUGGGUACAAUUCCCAGCACCUACA
Molecule: non-coding RNA, 73 nt
Organism: Mesocricetus auratus (golden hamster)
Lineage: Eukaryota; Metazoa; Chordata; Mammalia; Rodentia; Cricetidae
Source: Rfam